RNAcentral lists this unclassified non-coding RNA (208 nucleotides) under uncultured Delicatula. RNAcentral's name for it is "sequence contains ITS2". Lineage: Eukaryota; Fungi; Basidiomycota; Agaricomycetes; Agaricales; Tricholomataceae. The record is from RNAcentral.
AAUUCUCAAGCUUCAACCUUGUUGUAAUGACUUGGAUUGUUGUUUGGACUUGAGGGUUGCUGCGAGUCUUUGGACUUUUGAACGGCUCCCUUUAAAUGCAUUAGUGGUGACUUGGACCCACUAUCAAAUGUGUUGAUAGUUAUCUACACUUUGAAGUGACCGAAUGUCUUUCCGCUUCUAACCGUCUUUCGAGACAAUAUCUUGAAAU